GGAUGUGAGGGCGAUCUGGCUGCAACAUCUGUCACCCCAUUGAUCGCCAGGGUUGAUUCGGCUGAUCUGGCUGGCUAGGCGGGUGUCCCCUUCCUCCCUCACCGCUCCAUGUGCGUCCCUCCUGAAGCUGCGCGCUCGGUCGAAGAGGACGACCAUCCCUGCUAGAGGAGGACCGGCCUUCGGUCAAGGGUAUACGAGUAGCUGCGCUCCCCUGCUAGAACCUCCAAACAAGCUCUCAAGAGUCCCAACUGAACAAUGACCAUUUUUCCGUAACCUCACAAUUUUCCCUCUAUUUUGUGCCUAUAAAAUUUUUG
This 314-nucleotide small nuclear RNA is filed under the name Oryctolagus cuniculus (rabbit). RNAcentral describes it as "7SK RNA". It matches the Rfam family "7SK RNA". Rfam says of the family: 7SK was discovered as an abundant small nuclear RNA in the mid-70s but a possible function has only recently been suggested. The record is from Rfam by way of RNAcentral. Lineage: Eukaryota; Metazoa; Chordata; Mammalia; Lagomorpha; Leporidae.